This 71-nucleotide transfer RNA is filed under the name Raja brachyura (blonde ray). RNAcentral's name for it is "tRNA-Ser". It matches the Rfam family "tRNA". From Rfam's summary of the family: Transfer RNA (tRNA) molecules are approximately 80 nucleotides in length. Lineage: Eukaryota; Metazoa; Chordata; Chondrichthyes; Rajiformes; Rajidae. RNAcentral also lists the same sequence under 1 other name. The record is from RNAcentral.
AAGAAAGUGACAGAGUGGUGAUGUGGUUGGCUUGAAACCGAUUUAUGGGGGUUCAAUUCCUUCCUUUCUUG